Molecule: long non-coding RNA, 754 nt
Filed under: Pan troglodytes (chimpanzee)
Lineage: Eukaryota; Metazoa; Chordata; Mammalia; Primates; Hominidae
Description: long non-coding RNA NONPTRT007726
Source: RNAcentral
GAGGUCGAGGGAUCUCAAGAUGGAAUGCAGACUGUGACCUGAGAAUCUAACUGUAUUAUACAUGCAUGGAGCAACUUCACUGAAGGAGACGUGGGGGAAAGGUGCUGACCUAAGCAGUUUUGGAAAUGAACGGAGUCUGUAAGACUAACAGCAAAAGGAACUGGACACAAGCACGUUGAGAGAACCUGGAAGCAACAACGCUCCAGUGGCACACCUUGCACCCAGACCUUAAUUUCUAAUAAGAUUCUCCAACAAGAGAAACCAGUGCUUCUUGAAGAAAUGGCUGAUUCUAGAACUGAAAGCAUCGUAUACAAGAUGGGACUAGAGGAUCUUGAACUAUCGGAAACUAAGAAAGUGCUCAAGAAAAGAAAGAAAGCGGCCGGGCGUGGUGACUCACACCUGUAAUCCCACUUUGGGAGGCUGAGGUGGGCAGAUCACAAGGUCAGGAGAUCGAGACUAUCCUGGCUAACACGGUGAAACUCCGUCUCUACUAAAAAUACAAAAAAUUAGCCGGGCUUGAUGGUGGAUACCUGUAGUCUCAGCUACUCAGGAGGCUGAGGCAGGAGAAUUGCUUGAACCCAGGAGGCAGAGGUUGCAGUGAGCCCAGAUCAUGCCAUUGGACUCCAGCCUGGGCAACAGAGUGAGACACCAUCUCAAAAAAAAAAAAAAAAGAAAAAAAGAAAAGUAAAGAAAGAAAACUCAAUGAUGGGAGGAUGUCCAAAGGACAAAGGAGCCAACUGAACUGAAGGAGCUC